UACAUGUGGGGCAAGCGUUGUUCGGAAUUAUUGGGCGUAAAGGGUGCGUAGGCGGCUUCCUAAGUUUGAUGUGAAAUCCUGGGGCUCAACCCUGGAACUGCAUUGAAUACUGGGAGGCUAGAGUACUGGAGAGGAAACUGGAAUUUACGGUGUAGCAGUGAAAUGCGUAGAGAUCGUAAGGAAGACCAGUGGCGAAGGCGAGUUUCUGGACAGUUACUGACGCUGAGGCACGAAGGCCAGGGGAGCAAACGGG
RNAcentral lists this ribosomal RNA (253 nucleotides) under uncultured bacterium. Its description in RNAcentral is "partial 16S ribosomal RNA". It matches the Rfam family "Bacterial small subunit ribosomal RNA", at positions 524 to 776 of the family's 1533-position model. The record is from RNAcentral.